GCAGAAUAUUAUAAACUAUAAAUAAUAAUACAAUUAUAUACAGAAGAAGACCACUAAAUGAGCAACUCAAUUAUGUAAAUUACAAUCCAAAGUAGUGAUUUUAAUAAUAAAAUCACCAUUACUUAAAUUGACAUAUUUAAAGUGGUAAAAAAAAGAGAGUAAAAAGAGUAACAUAGAAAGAGAAAAUUUAUACUAGCACCUACUAAUAUUGCUUCUAUUAUAUACUAUAUACUCCAAACGUAGUUUUACAUUACAAAAACUACUAUGCUUAAAAGCUCACAAAUUUCUUAUCAAUAUAUCCACGUUGAAACUCGAUUGAUUUUGAAUUUUCACGAUAAAAACGAGGAUAUGUAACAUUCUAUUUCAUUUUCCCGAACUCGAACUCAAAAUUUCAUUUCAGAUCUCCACGCAACAUCCGGAUUGUACAAAUCCUGAAAAUUCAUCAGGAACAUUUAUCUUUGUUAAUUUACUGUUUUGUCCUUGUUUUUUGUUGUUUUCUACGAAAAAGAACCCAUGCGGGGCACCUUGAUAGGCCGACCCGGUAACCAAGGUCCGAUAACCAAGAUC
RNAcentral lists this unclassified non-coding RNA (567 nucleotides) under Hevea brasiliensis (rubber tree). The record is from RNAcentral. Lineage: Eukaryota; Viridiplantae; Streptophyta; Magnoliopsida; Malpighiales; Euphorbiaceae.